This 30-nucleotide non-coding RNA is filed under the name Mus musculus (house mouse). The record is from RNAcentral. Lineage: Eukaryota; Metazoa; Chordata; Mammalia; Rodentia; Muridae.
CAUAAUUGUGCACUUAUGUAAUGCCUGUGG